UUUGUUACUUCAAACCAAUCGGACUUCGGUCUGACAUCAAGUGAUAUUGAACAAUUUAGCUGAUCGCACGGUCUAAGAACCGGCGACAUAUCCUUCAAAUGUCUGCCUUAUCAACUUUCGAUGGUAGAUUAUGCGCCUACCAUGGUUGUAACGGGUAACGGAGAAUCAGGGUUUGAUUCCGGAGAGGGAGCCUGAGAAACGGCUACCACAUCCAAGGAAGGCAGCAGGCACGCAAAUUACCCACUCCCGGCACGGGGAGGUAGUGACGAAAAAUAACAAGCUGGUCUCAAUGAGUUCCAGCAUUGUAAUGGGAACAAUUUAAAUCUUUUAUCGAGGAUCUAUUGGAGGGCAAGUCUGGUGCCAGCAGCCGCGGUAAUUCCAGCUCCAAUAGCGUAUAUUAAAGUUGUUGCGGUUAAAAGCUCGUAGUUGGAUCUAGGAUUAGGGCUACGGUCGUUCAGCUUGGACGUACUGUAUGCCCGACUCCUUUUCUCUAGUAUUCGAUUGUGCUCUUAAAUGAGKGACUUUAGUGCUGGAACUUUACCUUGGAAAAAUUGAAGGCUCAAAGCAGGUWAUGCC
This 576-nucleotide ribosomal RNA is filed under the name uncultured eukaryote. RNAcentral describes it as "SSU rRNA". It matches the Rfam family "Eukaryotic small subunit ribosomal RNA", at positions 205 to 802 of the family's 1831-position model. The record is from RNAcentral.